GAUGAACGCUGGCGGCGCGCCUAAUACAUGCAAGUCGAGCGAACGGACGAGAAGCUUGCUUCUCUGAUGUUAGCGGCGGACGGGUGAGUAACACGUGGAUAACCUACCUAUAAGACUGGGAUAACUUCGGGAAACCGGAGCUAAUACCGGAUAAUAUUUUGAACCGCAUGGUUCAAAAGUGAAAGACGGUCUUGCUGUCACUUAUAGAUGGAUCCGCGCUGCAUUAGCUAGUUGGUAAGGUAACGGCUUACCAAGGCAACGAUGCAUAGCCGACCUGAGAGGGUGAUCGGCCACACUGGAACUGAGACACGGUCCAGACUCCUACGGGAGGCAGCAGUAGGGAAUCUUCCGCAAUGGGCGAAAGCCUGACGGAGCAACGCCGCGUGAGUGAUGAAGGUCUUCGGAUCGUAAAACUCUGUUAUUAGGGAAGAACAUAUGUGUAAGUAACUGUGCACAUCUUGACGGUACCUAAUCAGAAAGCCACGGCUAACUACGUGCCAGCAGCCGCGGUAAUACGUAGGUGGCAAGCGUUAUCCGGAAUUAUUGGGCGUAAAGCGCGCGUAGGCGGUUUUUUAAGUCUGAUGUGAAAGCCCACGGCUCAACCGUGGAGGGUCAUUGGAAACUGGAAAACUUGAGUGCAGAAGAGGAAAGUGGAAUUCCAUGUGUAGCGGUGAAAUGCGCAGAGAUAUGGAGGAACACCAGUGGCGAAGGCGACUUUCUGGUCUGUAACUGACGCUGAUGUGCGAAAGCGUGGGGAUCAAACAGGAUUAGAUACCCUGGUAGUCCACGCCGUAAACGAUGAGUGCUAAGUGUUAGGGGGUUUCCGCCCCUUAGUGCUGCAGCUAACGCAUUAAGCACUCCGCCUGGGGAGUACGACCGCAAGGUUGAAACUCAAAGGAAUUGACGGGGACCCGCACAAGCGGUGGAGCAUGUGGUUUAAUUCGAAGCAACGCGAAGAACCUUACCAAAUCUUGACAUCCUUUGACAACUCUAGAGAUAGAGCUUUCCCCUUCGGGGGACAAAGUGACAGGUGGUGCAUGGUUGUCGUCAGCUCGUGUCGUGAGAUGUUGGGUUAAGUCCCGCAACGAGCGCAACCCUUAAGCUUAGUUGCCAUCAUUAAGUUGGGCACUCUAAGUUGACUGCCGGUGACAAACCGGAGGAAGGUGGGGAUGACGUCAAAUCAUCAUGCCCCUUAUGAUUUGGGCUACACACGUGCUACAAUGGACAAUACAAAGGGCAGCGAAACCGCGAGGUCAAGCAAAUCCCAUAAAGUUGUUCUCAGUUCGGAUUGUAGUCUGCAACUCGACUACAUGAAGCUGGAAUCGCUAGUAAUCGUAGAUCAGCAUGCUACGGUGAAUACGUUCCCGGGUCU
RNAcentral lists this ribosomal RNA (1372 nucleotides) under uncultured bacterium. RNAcentral's name for it is "bacterial SSU rRNA". It matches the Rfam family "Bacterial small subunit ribosomal RNA", at positions 28 to 1381 of the family's 1533-position model. The record is from RNAcentral.